RNAcentral lists this unclassified non-coding RNA (289 nucleotides) under Hevea brasiliensis (rubber tree). Lineage: Eukaryota; Viridiplantae; Streptophyta; Magnoliopsida; Malpighiales; Euphorbiaceae. The record is from RNAcentral.
GGGGGGGUUUUUAUUUGCAAAAUUAGAGUCUUGAUAUAUCAAUUUGUUAUUAUUCUAAGCAUUUGUGCUCGUCUUAUUCCACACAGCAACUCUCGUCAAAACAAAAAUGCAAAAAAAACUGUCCCCCUCACGAAGGGAAGAGGUAAAUAUGUCCCUUCACACACUGAUUACUUACACAAUGUCCUCACACACUUCAGCCCUAUACCCGGGCUUUCUUAUCAUUUUAAGAAAUAAGAGAGAGUCAUGUAGCGGUACCCGUGCGUUUUACCCCAUUAGUAUCCAUGAAGGC